RNAcentral lists this ribosomal RNA (645 nucleotides) under Vreelandella aquamarina. Its description in RNAcentral is "bacterial SSU rRNA". It matches the Rfam family "Bacterial small subunit ribosomal RNA", at positions 67 to 705 of the family's 1533-position model. The record is from RNAcentral. Lineage: Bacteria; Pseudomonadati; Pseudomonadota; Gammaproteobacteria; Oceanospirillales; Halomonadaceae.
CGGUAACAGAUCCAGCUUGCUGGAUGCUGACGAGCGGCGGCACGGGUGAGUAAUGCAUAGGAAUCUGCCCGAUAGUGGGGGAUAACCUGGGGAAACCCAGGCUAAUACCGCAUACGUCCUACGGGAGAAAGGGGGCUCCGGCUCCCGCUAUGGGAUGAGCCUAUGUCGGAUUAGCUAGUUGGUGAGGUAACGGCUCACCAAGGCCACGAUCCGUAGCUGGUCUGAGAGGAUGAUCAGCCACAUCGGGACUGAGACACGGCCCGAACUCCUACGGGAGGCAGCAGUGGGGAAUAUUGGACAAUGGGGGCAACCCUGAUCCAGCCAUGCCGCGUGUGUGAAGAAGGCCCUCGGGUUGUAAAGCACUUUCAGCGAGGAAGAACGCCUAGCGGUUAAUACCCGCUAGGGAAAGACAUCACUCGCAGAAGAAGCACCGGCUAACUCCGUGCCAGCAGCCGCGGUAAUACGGAGGGUGCAAGCGUUAAUCGGAAUUACUGGGCGUAAAGCGCGCGUAGGUGGCUUGAUAACCCGGUUGUGAAAGCCCCGGGCUCAACCUGGGAACGGCAUCCGGAACUGUCAAGCUAGAGUGCAGGAGAGGAAGGUAGAAUUCCCGGGUGUAGCGGGUGAAAUGCGUAGAGAUCGGGGAGG